This 253-nucleotide ribosomal RNA is filed under the name uncultured bacterium. RNAcentral's name for it is "partial 16S ribosomal RNA". It matches the Rfam family "Bacterial small subunit ribosomal RNA", at positions 524 to 776 of the family's 1533-position model. The record is from RNAcentral.
UACAGAGGGUGCGAGCGUUGUUCGGAAUUAUUGGGCGUAAAGGGCGCGUAGGCGGUGCGGUAAGUCACCUGUGAAAUCUCCUGGCUCAACUGGGAGCUUGCAGGCGAAACUGCCGUGCUGGAGUGUGGGAGAGGUGCGUGGAAUUCCUGGUGUAGCGGUGAAAUGCGCAGAUAUCGGGAGGAACACCGGUGGCGAAGGCGGUUCUCUGGGCCUGUACUGACGCUGAGGAGCGAAAGCGUGGGGAGCAAACAGG